This 77-nucleotide transfer RNA is filed under the name Marinospirillum sp. RNAcentral describes it as "tRNA-Arg". It matches the Rfam family "tRNA". Rfam says of the family: Transfer RNA (tRNA) molecules are approximately 80 nucleotides in length. Lineage: Bacteria; Pseudomonadati; Pseudomonadota; Gammaproteobacteria; Oceanospirillales; Oceanospirillaceae. The record is from RNAcentral.
GUCUCCGUAGCUCAGCUGGAUAGAGCGUCCCCCUCCUAAGGGGAAGGUCACAGGUUCAAAUCCUGUCGGGGACGCCA